CCCCCGCCGCGGCUGCUCCCACUCCCGCACCGAAGCCCAAGGCCAAGGCGCCCGCGGCCGCACCACCAGCCAAAGCCACCGCCCCUGCCCCCGCAGCACUCCCUCCCACCGCAGACGUACCCGCGGCCGCCGCGCCAACGCUCGUCCCCGAGGUGCCUGCCGCCGCGCCGGCCCCGUUGACCAAGCCCACCGACGCCCCCGCGCCGGCGCCGUCCAAGAAGAAGCGCUCCUCCAAGAAGAAGACGAAGGCGCCCGCGCCCGCCCCAGCCGCCGCGGCCCCCGUCAAGGCCAAGGCCGUGGCGCCCACCACCGCCCAGGCCGCCGCGGCUCCCGGGCCCAGCGGCGACUCCACCGCCGCCGACACCGCGGUACGUCCUACGCUCACUAACUUGCCAACCGUGAUCACUGGGUUUGGGGUCCAAGCCAUGCACACUCCAUUAAGCAAAUUUACGAGGCUGCCACCCGGACGGCAUGGCCACGGCGGCCAGUGUGUCGGCGCGCACUGUUGGGUCAGCCCGACACGCACGUGCUCCUGACUGGCUAAUUAACUUGCCUGACAUGACAUUAGUUGGGGCAUUAACUUGCCUGACAUGAGAAUCAAAUCAAAUCACACCGUUGACACCAGCAUGGAGGGCUGUCCCUGCUGGCUGCUGCCUGGACCAUGCACACUAUUGUUUACUUCAUCGUCGGCUCGCAGUUUUGCAUCCAAGCUACUUAACGUGUGCAUUGUUGUCCAUGGUUGUUUUGCAGAGUGCACCGGGGAGGAGCACCGGGAUGGCGGCGGCCGUGAUCGUGGCGGCGCUCGGCGCGGCGGCGAUGCUCGCCUAGACCGACGAUCCCCGUCGAUCGGGCCGUGAUGAUGCGCGCGUCGGCCAUGUCACCCUUUUUCUCUUUUGGUUUUGUGUAAUUAUUUACGAGGGGUGAUGGGCUUUGAGCCUUUUUCCUUUCCUGUGUCGUGCACUAGAGCUCACAUUCACAGUGUCGCGAUUCUUUUGCUUUGCUUUUGUGUUGAGAGAGACGGGAGAGAAGCCAGAGUGUCACAGAUGAUAUGGUACGAGAGACGGAUGCGAGGGGGAGGGGACGCUGCCUGUGUAUUAUUGUUAAUUUUAUUCAUAUUUAUAACGUAUUUAUAUCACAGUUACCAUUACGUUUUCAUCGUUGUCAUUGUUACAGUUGUUGGUACCUUGACAUGACUGUGAAGCAGAAACAUUCUUUUGGUUUUGGUUUUCGUUUUUUCAUCUUUUGCCUGUUGAUUGUGAAAGAAAGGGAAAGCUGGGUUGAUGCCUUUCGCCAUGAUUAGACACGGCCGACCAUCCACUAACCCACAAGCUUACAAACUGAAAACUUAUGCAAAUAGUAUUUUAAUUAAAUGAAAAUUAUUGGGG
This 1385-nucleotide long non-coding RNA is filed under the name Triticum aestivum (bread wheat). RNAcentral describes it as "long non-coding RNA (TAES_LNC017489)". The record is from RNAcentral. Lineage: Eukaryota; Viridiplantae; Streptophyta; Magnoliopsida; Poales; Poaceae.